RNAcentral lists this long non-coding RNA (9862 nucleotides) under Homo sapiens (human). Its description in RNAcentral is "HSALNT0074504". Lineage: Eukaryota; Metazoa; Chordata; Mammalia; Primates; Hominidae. The record is from RNAcentral.
GGAGGCAACACCAGUGAAAUAUCAGUGCUAUAGCACCAGAGGCAAAGUCUCACCUUCCAGUUCAUUCUUAGCUUUUCUCAGUGACUUUCUAAGUGAAUUUGCUUAUGACUUUGAAUAGUAGUGUUUUUAGGUAUGAUGACACAAUUGCCAGAUGAUAUUUACUGAUGCCUGUAAUAACUUGCGGGAGGUUCUGGAGUCCCAUGGUUAUUAAUCUCUGGAGGCUUCACCAUCCUUUGUGGGUUCCUUUAAUUAUCUCCAUUGCCUCAAAAGCUAAAAAAGCAAGUCUUGCAGUUUGGUGGGAGAGAGUAUGCAGUCACCAACAUGGCAUGAAUUUAGGAGUGAAUAAACGAAAGAAAAGAAAAAAACCUAUUAUUUAGAGUGCUAUGAAUGGUGUAAGCAAGCCUCUUUUGAGAGAGAAGAGCUUCACGGAGAAGCAGAUUUUGCUGGUGGUGAAACAGGGGAAGGUCAUUCCUGGCAGAGGGAGCAGGUGAGCCCAGACAGGCCUGAUAGAAGUCAGUCUGACUCUUCCUUGACCACUUUAAGCCCCAGUAGCCGGCCCAGAUCCUCCCACGAUUCUUGCUGCCUCCCGAACUGCAGUGUGAGCAAAUGAGAUAAGUACAAAAUAUUCCUACACCACUGGCUCCAUGCUCUCCUCAUAUUCAAUCAUGAAGACUAAUGAACCAGAGAUGAUUACGGUGGUAAAAAUCCAAAUGCAGAUUUUUGCUGUCCUUACUAAUGAGAGAAAAAUAUAGUAGACCAUUGGCCUAAAGGCUCCAGAUGCGAUUCCUUUGUAACUUAGAGUGCAUUAAAAAAGCUUCAGUCAGCAAGAUAAGUUAAUUUUUUUAUGACCUUUAUAAACUCUUUUAGCCUGUAUCUCGGGAGCUUCUUAAAGAUUAAAUUUUAAAAAAUCCUUUUAGCUCAGGCCAACACAGCAUCUGAGUCUUUUUUGCUUCCAAGGCUACAUCCAAAAUCUAUAAAAAAAUUCUGUUCAUGACAAUUAUUGUCAAAGUAAUGAUUAGCUAACAUGUCAUUUUUAGUUUUUACUGUUCUUGCCUCUAUGAGACUAAUCCAAUAAAGCUCACAUCUUCUUAAUGUAAAAGUUGCAUGAAGGAUGCAUUAUUCCCGUUGACUUUGCCUACAUUUGCAAAUUCUUGAAAAAGCAAAUUGAAUUGUCACUAGUGGCACCUCUUUCACAGGAUGAUUGUUGGGUCAAAGUGAGAGUGUAGGGGACAAAUAUCAAGAUUUUUGUUAAAAGAAAAAAAUCCCUACCUAAGAACUGUAAAGCUGUAUUAAUAUAUAAUUGAGGCCAUGGACUUUAGUAGACCAUAAGGCACAGCUACCCAAGGUGAUGGGUAUAAUUUUGCAGGGGGAGGAAUGUCGGAGGAAUGUGAAGGGCUCUUCAUUGAUGGCAUCACAAAUUUAAUUUAUUAUGUGAAACAUGUAGUUUCUUCUCACCUCUUUGGUUGUAGGAUAACUGCUCCUUUUAAACACUGUGCUUUUGACUGGCUUGAUUGGUAACUACAAAAGUCAUCAUCCUAGGCAUCUGUCACUACUUCUAUUACAUCCAACCUACUGACCCAGAAAAUCUGUGGUUGACACAAUUGAUUUCUCUAAAAGAUUCAUUCAGCAUUUAUUUUAUUUUUGACAUCCACCUACAAGGUCCCACAGAAAUUUAGUACCUACAUCUCUGUGUAAGAGAAACACAGCCCUUUAUAAAAAGUGCAUAUCCUGAAGUGAGGAGCUGGAACAAAGCAGGAGUCUUGCUUAGAAUGAUUCACUGAAGUAACUGGAUUUAUUAAGAUGUAUGUGAGCUUUGGUGACUAUGCCACUGAAGACAUUUGUGCUCACCUCGUGAGAGGCUGCCACUGGAAAUAACAACAACUAAUAAUAAUAAUAAAAGGAAAGAAAAGACUCAAGUUAUAAGACUUAUCCUUGUAUUAUCAAACUACUCUGAAUCUUAACCUUCUCUAUGUCUCUUUCCCUUCUUUCCUCUCGGGAUGCCUUCCUUUAGAUCCCAGAAAGCAUCUUGAUUUCAAACUAAGAUAUACAAGCCACAUGGCUUAAAUAGAUGCUUGACAGUUAUCUAUUACUUCCCAUGUAUAUUGCCAUGCUACCUCAUUAUAUAGAAAGGUUACGUGAUUCUUUUUUCAAGGCAUAUAGAUAAUUAACUGCCAGAUUCAGAAUUCACCCUUAAUUGUUUAUCUUGUAAAUAUAUUGGCAUCUUCUCAUGUGCUCUAAAAUCUAAUGACCUGGCUUGGUCAUGCAUCAUCCUAUGAAUUUGCUGAGAAAUGAGCAAUGGGAGGGAAUAUAGAGGUCUGUAUAAAAUGGCAGUAGUGGUCUUUGCUUACUGAAUUCAUACAUCUAAGUAGAUUAAAUUAUUUCUCUUUUUAUCUUGUUAGCUAAGAAUUUUCAGCUUGGGCUGAGCCUCAGGUCCAAUCAGGUAUACUUAAUAUUUAAGAUUUUUAAAAUUGUUUUUCUAGUAAUCCAUAUCUAUAGUAUUUUUAUUUUUAGUAACUUAAUGGUAAUAUUCAGGGGCCACAUUUUCUGGGGAAAUCCUUUUUUUCUAAUUUGACACAGGACAAUAUAAAAUGUUUUAUUGACUGUAUACAUAACUGUUCAGAAAGCUCUUAUAGCGACUAUCUUUUGUCAAUUUCUUCUGAUUCUACUAAACGUUGUUUUCAUUCCAUAACAAGAAAUGAAUGAAUGCAAUGAUUUUGGAGAGGAGGCAGUAUCAUUGGCUCUUUCAAAGAUAAAACACUUCCAAGGUUCCUAGAACUGACUUUUACUAUAGUGCCACCAUGAAAGAUCUGAAGAUCAUUAUUUACUAGAAAUAAAGGAACAAGGCAGAAAUCGAUGACUACACUAGAUUUAUGUUUCCCUUGCUUUCUAUAUACAUCUCUAUUUGUCCUAACUUCAUGGGGAGGAUAUUUAAUACAUAAUGGAAGGAGCCUGUUGCUUUUGAUUUAUUUUUUGUUUAUUAUUUUUGGCAUUCCAUAGAGAAAUUCUGGAAAUCAAUACUGUCUCUCUGUGUGUGUAUGUCUGAGUACCUUGGGCACAAUAUAGGUUUAAAGGUUCUAAAGGGACAAAGAAACCCCCUUCACUGGCUGAGCUCUCUUUUAUUAUAUCAAAUUAUAACAUUUACUCAUGAAAGAGAGUUGCCUUUCUUUCUGUGUAUGUUUUACAUGACAUUGUGAGCACAGACACAAAGGCUAAUUUAAUCACAAUCACAAGAGCGAGAUGAUGCUUUGUGUAUUUAAAUUUAUAGAUUAUUGCCCCCUCCUAGAGCCCAAGUGAUUCUCACCAAUUCUAGCUAACUCUCUCUUAGCAAUUUUAUUAGAGAAUUAAGAUACAUCUCAGGUGUACGUGGUAGAUGAAGGCGCAAUUCAUAGAGGUGUUAUGAAAUUUUAAAUUUACUUUGAGUGAAUAAUGGGAUAGUUGGUAAUGCAGAUGAGGUAAAAUGAACCCUGUCUUUAAAUAGUUUCUAAUCACAUAUUUGGACUUAAAAACUACAGGUAAUCAACACUAAUUUAUCAAGACCAUGUGAACAGGAAAUUAUAUUUAAAGGAAGUGAUAUGUGUUGCUAUUGCAUGAAUUUAUGACAGCUGGAUAGAAACUCAGAAGGACAGAAUACAUGAAAAAAGAAUGAAAGUAGCAAGGCUGUCCAAUGUUACAAAACAGUGGAACAGCCCCAUAGUAAUUUCCAGCACCCCCAAACUGGCUCUUAGUAGUGUUGUCUUUUUUUUUGUUUUUUCCUCGUACAGAGACCAGAGAAAAUUUCAGAUUGGUUCUUCCUCUGGGGUUCUGGUUUCUUGUCUGAGAGACUUGCCUCACUUAUGGCUGGUUGUAAGGACUAAGGUUAUUGACUCUUUCUCCAGAGUAUGACAAUUCCAUAACAAUACACUAAAUGAUAAACUGAUUAUAAACAACAGGAGAAUACUUCUCAUAUCUAGUGUCAGUGUGCUGGAUAUAGAGGUCCAAAGGAAAUUAGGAAUAUGUAUUUGGAGUUCAGGAAAAAUGACUACAUAUACAGGACUUGUCAGCAUGAGGAUAAUUGAAGUGAUUGGAGUGGUUAAGCUUUCCCUGGGAGAGUAUUAGUUAUAAAAUGCAGGCAGAGGACAAAAUCUUCAGAAAUAGCAGCCCCCCAAAAGUUAUGAGGAUUCCUAGAAGGCUGAGAAAGCAGAGUUAGAAUGAGCAGUAGUGUUAUAGAAAUAGUGUGCAGGUAAUGCCACAGAAAGGCCAUGCAGAAUCAGAAUUUACAAAUGUUCACCGGCUUGACCUCAGGAGGUAAUUGGUAACCUUUGCAUGAACAGUUUCUGUGGCCACGUAAUACUAGGUAAUAACCAUAAGUUUACUUUGGUUACACUUAAACAAUGACAAGUGUUUGCACUUGUAAUUUUCUUGAUCAAAGUGACGCCUAUUUGAAUAUCAGCCAACAUUUCUAGCUAAGACGUUUCUUAGCUAACUUUACAUUUGUCAUCAUACCCCCAAAGUGAAUGCACUUUUUGGAAAGGAGCAGUGUAGUCAUGUUCCCUUUAUUGAGUUUAAGCAAAGAAUUGUUUUAUGUAUAUAUACAUAUAUAUAUGUAUACACACACACACACACACACACACACAUAUACACACACACUUUAUUUUGGCAAUUAUGUUGAAAACCUUCACUGAAUUUUGGGAAUAUUUGUUUGUUCACUAAAGUUAAAAGGAUUUGAGGAGCAAACAUUUGUAUCAUGAAUGUGGUACUCCACAGAUGAUCAGUUUAGCCAUGACCCUCCUACCGGUCCAGUUUGCACACACCACUCUCCAGCUGGUUGUUCCUCACUUCUGAGGCUUCCACUAAUUCAGGCCUGGCUGUUUUUUUUUUUUUUUUUUUUUUAAUCAUCCACCAGUGCCUGAAGUUUGUUUAAAUUGUACGCCUAGAGAUGCUCUUUAUAUGUAUGUUUUCAUUAUGAAUGUUAUUAAAAAUUAAUGGCUAGCAAAUACUACUUACUAUGUAUUAUAUACUACAAAAAGCAUGUUAAAAGUGUUUUAUUUGAUUCUCUCUCACACACAGAAACCUGUAGGAAGUGUUAUUAUCCCCAUUUUAUGGAUUGCAAAACUGAGACUCUAGUUCACAGAAACACUUGGUGGCAGAACAGGGGCUUGAAUUCAGGUAUCUCUGGUGUUGAGAUUCUUGAUCUUAACUACUACUUAUACUACUUCCUAGUUAUUUGUAUGAUCAAUUGUUAAAGUAUGAUUUCCUACACUUUUAAAUUUUGGUGCGUGACUUGUGACUAUUUCGUCUUCAAAUUUGGUAUAAUCACAAAUUUAGGUACAAUAAGUAAUUACAAAGCUGUGCAUAUAUCUCUAUUAAUUUUAAUAAAUGAGAAGCUUAAGAAGAUCUUAGAUACUCUAUUACUUUUUGAAAUGUCAUGCUAAGAGUAGUAGAACACUAUAUGACAUAUUAAGACAUUCUGGACAUCAGAUUUCAAAUUCAAAACAACCACAUUUUUAAAGAAACAAAAUAAAUGAUUACUAGUGUUGCCCCCUGAAAAUAGAAAAUAACAUUUUUCAUUCUGCUGUUAUAUAUAGUACCAACGUAUAAGAUUUUAUUCAAUAUAAAGCUACUAUUUUUAAAACAUACUUUAAUACACAUUGAAAUAUAUUGGGUAUACACCAUAUCCCAUUCUAAGCACUAAAAUAGCUCAGUUGUGAAUACAUUGCAUGAUCCUACCAUUUUAUAAACUCUGAUUUAGAUUUUCUAUGAGAGAAGCUAGAAGGUUUCAGAGAAGAAUGAUACUUGAGCAAAUCUAUAUAGUGAAAAUAGGGAAUUUCUGAAUUUACUGACUUUUAAAAAAAGUGCCCCUCAUGUGUAUUUGAGAAAUAAGAAUAUAUUUGAUGGAAAAGUAGGACUUCAUAGGCCAAAUGCCCAAGGUCACAACUGAAGCCUCAGAAGGUAAAGAAAAGCUGUUAAAGAAAAGUAUUUACUAGGUUCAUGCUAAAUACACACAUCACACAGUGCAGGUCUUCUACCACCCUCUGUGUGGCAUGGAGUUCCACUUAUUGGAAGCACAUCAGUUCUUUUUGGAACCAUGCAACCAUAGUUUUAAAAUAUGCAUCCAAAGAGCCUUAUACAUCUUAGGCACAUACAACAAAAAAAAGUUGUCCUGACUUUAUACAGAAUACAUAGACAAUGUCUUCUGAAUAAAAAUCAGGCUCUUCUAGGACAUAAAACUUCUACACUGUAUUCUCUUCACAUUUUCUUUCACGAAACCCCCACACCCCCAACUAUUAUUGUAGGUAUUUCUCAAUCUACAGUAUAAUUGUUCUCUUUAAAAUCUCCUUUUAGGUCAGAGCCAGAUCAGCAGUAGGACUCUGAUAGAAACAAAGUGACUGGGUUCUGAAACCCCACAAACCUCUGAAACUCACCCAAAGCAGCCAAUUACCAAAGCUUUUGCUCCCUUGCAGAGAACACUGGCAGUAAUCAGAGGGGCAAAUGUGCAUCAGCUGAACGAACAACCUCUCUUUAGGGAGGCUGGAAUUCCCUGCUGCUUGUCAAGCUACAGUCGAUGUGAACAAACCUGUCAGUUUGUCUGCCUUUUCUCAUUCUGUACCACAUGUGUGGUGUUUUCAGGUUGCACAGUCUCUGAAAAUACCAGAAUUGGGUUCCAACAUUUAUCAAUAACAAUUUAUAGCAGAUAGCUUUCUGGAAAACAGUAGGAAUCUAAUGAAGCCUAACAAUACAGCCCCCACAAAGGUUUCCAGGCCUGGGAUCAAUGUCAUCAGCGAAAUUUAUGGGAAGGCCGUGCAACUCUCUGAGAUGCAGGGGCAUUCUCUGCAACCUGUCUUGGAUUCCAUCAAUUAUGGUCUAAUAAGGUCUUUCCUGACACAGGAGACAUCUCUCUUAGUAAGGCUUUCAUUCUGCCGCUGCCUCUGAGAUGUACAUGUAUAUGUAAAAACAGUUGUUUUUCUAUUGCAACUGUGGCCCUCUGAGAGAGAGGUCUCCAUGGGUUUUGUCUGCCUUUCUGGGUUCUGGCAAAUCCCUGUGGUUUCUCUCACUGGGUCUGUUUGCUCCAGGGAAUCUGAACAGCCAGACACCAGCUCCCAAAAUCUCUCUGAGGUGAAACAAACACUUGUCCCUAAAAAUUUCACAUUCCCUGCAUAUUUUAAAACUGUGAAAUUGACAUAUCUAGCUGAAUAUGAAUAUUACGGCAGCAAAGCUUGUUUGUGGAAAUAAUGUGAAGUCCGUAGCAGAGGAGUGGACUGUGGUGUAUUGGAUACGGUUUUGCUCUAAACUUUUAGCUUCCUCAACACGUACAGUACAGAAAUGUGAGCCUUGGAGCCUUUGAUUCUCCCUCAGGGCAAUUCUAGAUCAUCCUGGUGGUGUCCUCAGGGUUGACUUCAAUGUAUAUUUAACUUACUCCAGGCUGUCUCUUUGAGAGGCCAGUGUGUGGCUCACUCUAGAGGAUUCCAGGUUCUCUGAAAGAACUCUCAGUCAUUCAGGAAAAACAGAUUUCACUUCAGUGAUGUACCCAUACAAUAUACACUCAUACAUAUCCACAUUUAUACACACAUUCAUUAUAUGCACACAUAAUAUCCAUGCGCAUGUAUAUGUAUGUAUUUCCAUAAGUUUUAGGAAAGCUGCUUUAGGAAUAUUAUAUUUUAGUAAUGACACAUGAUUACUUGUCAUACUUUUUCUCUGGAUGAAUAAUGCUUUAUUUUCUUAAUGUGAUCAUAGCAGCCUUAGGUCAAUAAUGGGCUGCAGACAGAAGCCAGGCUUGCUUCUAAGACUUAAGUCACAUCCUUGAUUCAGAAUAGGUCUCAGGCUACGUAUAGCAGCCUUCUGAGGUAAAGUCUGGUGAGGGAGAAAAUCUAGACAGGAAGAAAUGGGAAACUCUCAGUUUAUCAAGGUACCACCUGUCCUUUACUGUUCUUAAAUAUCCUUAUUGCUAGUUACUCUACCAUGGGUAGAGUACCCUUUUCACCAUGAAUAAUUUGGGGGACAAAUCCAAGACCAUAAAGUCUUUAUUAAAUAACAUAAGAGUAAAGAUAAAGAUGAAGCCAAUCUAAGUACCUGUAUUCAUUUCCUAGGGCUGCCUUAAGAAAUUACCAGACUGAGUGGCUAAAAAAAAAAAAAAAAACAGGAAUGUAUUCUCUCAUAGUUCUAGAGGCUCGAAGUCUGAAAUCAAGAUGUCAGCAGAGCCAUGCUCUUGCUGAAGGCUCUAGGGGAGGGUAUGUUCCAUGCUUUUCUCGCAGCUCUGGGUGGUGCCAAUGAUACUGGCUCUCCUUGGCGUGUAGAUGCAUCAUUACAAUUUCAGCCUCUUCUUUUCCAUGGCAUUCUCUGUGCCUAUCUUCUCCUUUUCUUAUAAAGAUCCAUGUUGUAUUAGAUUAAGGGCUCACUCUACUCUAGCAUUACCUCAUCUUAACUAAUUGCAUCUUAAAUUACCUUAUUUCCAAAUAAGUUUACAAACCUGAGGUUCUGUGAAGGGCAUGAACUUUGGGGGGACUCUAUCCAACCCAGUACAAUACAUAAGGGGUUCCUUCACUGAAACACUCAUUAAUGCAUGAAAUCACUAUAUUAACUUGUUGCUAUCUAGAAGAAAAUUGGCAACAGCUGGAUGUGGUGGCACAUGCCUAUAAUACCAGCAAUUUGGGAGGCCAAAGCGGGUGGAUCACUUGAUGUCAGGAGUUCAAGACCAGCCUGGCCAACAUGGUGAAACCCUGUCUGUACUAAAAGUACAAAAAUUAGCCAGGUGUGGUGGCACGUGCCUGUAGUCUCAGCUACUUGGGAGGCUGAGGUGGGAGAAUCACUUGAACCUGGAAGGCAGAGAUUGCAGUGAGCCAAGAUUGCACCACUGCACCCCAGCCUGGGCGACGGAGACUCUGUCUCAAAAACAAACAAACAAACAAACAAACAAACAAACAAAAAAAACCCCAAAGAAAAUUGGCAAGGUAAGUAUUAGGGAGUGAGGAUGCAAAAAUAGAAAAUGUCCAGAACAGUGAUGUCCAAUGUGGUAUUUAAUGGCUAUUUAAAUUUGAAUAAGUUAAAACAAUAAAUUUAAAAAUUCAGUUUCUGUCUCACUAGCUACAUUUCAAAAGCUUGAUAGCCACAGGUGGCCAGUGACUACUCUAUUGAACAGUGCAGAAAUAGGACAUUUCCAUCAGUGCAGGAAGUGUGGUCUAGAACACAUCAUGAAGAGGAGUUACAGCAGAAGUUGUCAGGAAAAGGGAAGGUGGAAAGUCCUGGGAGUGCAGUAAUGUUGCUGUGAGAGAAGAGACCCUGAAAGAGCGGAUGAAGGUGAAGGUGCUUACUAAAUAUUUGUUGAACCAUUGAAGAAAAAGAUGAAUACUUCAAACAUGAUGGAAUGUUGUGGAGACUGGCAAUGCUGCUGACAAAAGCAUAUGACUGCCCUGAAGAUUUCUGGAAAAAAGCACUUUAAAGAAGCAGGAAAGCAGAUGGAGGGGGACCAGUUUUUUCCACAGAAUCCCUUUUCAUUUGGGGUAAGAUGCUGAAGACUAAUGACUAAGAAAGUCCAAGAAAACUAAGACUUCAUCUUCCUGGAAAAAUUGAAGCCAUUGAUUGGAACAAGAGAAACACCAAGACAGGAAGGGACGUAGAAAUUUUCCCUCUAUCCCUCUUCCAUUACAGAGACAUGGAAAAUCCCAGUAUAUGUUUGUUUAUUUCUCUAUUUCUUCUUCUCAUACAGAAUUUAAAAAUAAUAAAUUGGGAUGCAUUGGUGAGCUAGGCCUCUGGGGCUCUUGCUUUAAAUCAUUCUUUUGGUGCUGUUCCCUAUUCAGGUGUUCACAUUCAUGCUAACUCUCCCUCAAACACAUUUACAACAACCACUGAGUUAAAAUUUUUCCCUUGGUCCUUAAAUAUUAUGUUACUA